Long non-coding RNA from Aegilops tauschii subsp. strangulata, 455 nucleotides. RefSeq lists it as uncharacterized. The record is from RefSeq and is a predicted model, not a curated record. Lineage: Eukaryota; Viridiplantae; Streptophyta; Magnoliopsida; Poales; Poaceae.
CCCGCGGCUCCCGUGGGCAGCCCUCGGGGACCGGCCGGAGGUGUUCCCCUCCUGGUCUCCCCUCUUCUAUCCGAGCUCGGCAGAGAGAGAUGUAUGUGCUCGUGACAUCUAUCUACGGCAUGUCGCCAUGUCGGGGUCGAUGAUCAGGUCAUUGGCCGGUGAUAUAUAGCCUGAUCAGAUGCGCUCGAUGUCCGGGGAGCGGUGGCAGCGCGCGCGGACGUCGGCACCAGCCAGGGAGACGAUGCCGUCGGUCGCCGAGCUAGUAGGGUAGAAGAAGAAAUAGGUCAUGUUGCUAGCAGCUUCUGUUCAUUUAUUUACUUCUGUCGAUGUUACGGUCUUGCUGUUGUUUGAUGUGCUUUUUUGUACCCUCCUUUUGUGGGCGUAGCUAGGUGUUUCUUGUCGGUGUUAAUCGAGAUCGUUCUUCUGGACCAUCUAUUUACAUCUGUCAUUGGGAA